GGGGAGUGGAAGAAGGAGGAAUAAGCUGGAAUGUGUGGGUAGGCAGGGGACCUUAAGACCAAUCCAAAUGUUCUGCAAAUGUUCUUAGGUCUGGGUCCGGGUCACCUUCACCAGAAGAACCUAUUUCCCUUCCCAGGGGACAGACUCAGGAGGGUCUAGCCCACAUACACAAACCAAGUUAUAUUUCAACUGGCAGAAUCAGAGAAGCCUUCUCAGGAGGCAUGGCCAGAUGCCACGUUGCAUGUGAGGUUAAAUAGGAAAUAACUCAGACUGCAAAGCCAAGUUUAGAAUCAGAAAAACAACUAAUCAGAGCAACAGCAGUGAGAACAAUCUGUCCCGGAGCUGGAGCAGAGGCUGCCGGGCUCUGACAGUCACAGGCGCCGCCCUGCACAAUGCAGCCAUUAUGACUGCCCGGCACCAACGUGGCUGAGCUCCAACCACAAGCCCUUUCAUCCUGGAAGGUCUCUGUUAGGAAGCAGAGUCUGGGCAGUUCCAAUCCUGGUCAUGAAUCUGCAUUAUGGAUCUUCACAAAUUGAAGAAACCCUCAAGGGGCCACGCCGGGAAAGGCAAGUUGAAAGAGAAGGACAUCCCUGACUACUUAAUAAACUGGAUGUGUGUGUA
This 621-nucleotide long non-coding RNA is filed under the name Homo sapiens (human). Its description in RNAcentral is "HSALNT0159932". Lineage: Eukaryota; Metazoa; Chordata; Mammalia; Primates; Hominidae. The record is from RNAcentral.